CCCUUAGAUGUUCUGGGCCGCACGCGCGCUACACUGACGGAGUCAACGAGUUGUCCUGCAUCGGAAGGUGUGGGUAAUCUUUUGAAACUUCGUCGUGCUGGGGAUAGAUCUUUGCAAUUUUCGAUCUUGAACGAGGAAUUCCUAGUAAGCGUGAUUCAUCAGAUCGCGUUGAUUACGUCCCUGCCCUUUGUACACACCGCCCGUCGCUACUACCGAUUGAAUGGUUUAGUGAGGCCUCGGGACUGGCGCGCUUGAGUAGCAAUACACCUGCGCGCCGGGAACUUGGUCAAACUUGAUCAUUUAGAGGAAGUAAAAGUCGUAACA
RNAcentral lists this ribosomal RNA (324 nucleotides) under uncultured eukaryote. Its description in RNAcentral is "partial 18S ribosomal RNA". It matches the Rfam family "Eukaryotic small subunit ribosomal RNA", at positions 1470 to 1796 of the family's 1831-position model. The record is from RNAcentral.